Molecule: long non-coding RNA, 3752 nt
Organism: Poecilia latipinna (sailfin molly)
Lineage: Eukaryota; Metazoa; Chordata; Actinopteri; Cyprinodontiformes; Poeciliidae
Exons: 2
Source: RefSeq, a predicted model, not a curated record
ACAACUUUGGGAUUCUGGCCCAUGUUGCAACAAGUUUGGCCACCACUGGCCUAACAGCUGCUGGGAGGAAGGAUCUGCAGUAACACUCUGUUGUGCCCCCGAGGAUGCAGCGGUCUGUCACUGGAGGAGCUCUCCAGUUUAGUAACAGCUGGGACACAACGUCCAACAGAGAUGGUAUUUUCUAACAAGAGUUAAGUUUGGUCUCCCACCACCUGCACUGGGUCAAGAGGGCAUCUUAGGACAGAGCUGGCCUUCAUGAUAAGCUUAUCUAGCCGCUUCCUCUCCGCUGUAAAUAAGCUGCUGCUCAAAUAAACUACAUCACAGAAGAUGGCUGAUGAACCACAGAGUCAAAAAAUGUCUGGAGCGCCCCAAUGAACUCCGAGAGACCUCAGCCUCCUCAGCAGGUCCAGCGGCCACGUCGCAGAAACAAUGGGCUGGAUCGGGCUUUGAAGUCAGCCCCCAAUGAAAGUGGAGCGACUGACACAUGAAAUGCCCUCACAGCUGGGCUGCCCCCAGUCAAAAGAAAAACAAAUACUUUGACUGAGAGGGGGACACGCCGCUCCUGUCUGAGCUUCCUAAGGCCCUGAGCCACCGCCGGGAUGUGGGCUUUCACGAUAUGCCGGUAAUGAUGGAUGGAUUGGGAAGAAAGUCUAUUCACAUGGAGAUGUUACAUCAUAAAUAUUUACACAGGGCUGCCGUUUCCAUGUAAAAGCCUCUGCUAUGACACGCUGGAAAAAUCCAAUGGACCAAAAUAAGUGCAAGAGAAUGAAAACUGCAGAAAAGCAGCCAAGUGCUCAUUUUGGAGCGUGUGCAACAGUCGGUGAUACAAUAAUACCAAUCUGAGCUUAUGAGUUGGUGUUUUUCUCAGUGAGACAAAUUAUCUUUUCUACGGCAGACUGCGAGCUUUAUUUACUUUUAUGCCUGACUGAAUAAACUGCUGUGUUACAGAAUCACUGGACCUCUUUGAACAAAUCCUGAAUACCAAAAUACUAAAAAGGCAGAGUUUGACUUUGAAUUACCAACAUUUAUUUUCCAUUGUGAUUAAGAUCUACAAAUGGAAAACAAAUUAGAAAUAGGAUGAUAGAUCCACCUCACGAACCAAUACACAAUACUGAAUUCAAAAAUAAGAGAAAGGACAACAUUUUGACGAUAUACAUAUUUAGGGAAAAUAAGAACACACUCCUUCUGAUUUCACAAAAAGACUUUACAAAAAGAUUUUACAGAUUAUGUGCUGCAUUUCAAAGAAUUUGUAAAAAAUGUCCAGGUUUGAUCAGUCUGUGUAUGGAAGGUUUUUAUGCUUUUCUAUUACUAAUGUGGCCUUAUAUCAAACAAUGCCGGAAAAUGCUACAUUUUUGUUAUUUGCAAACAUAAAAAAGGUACUCAAAAUGAGAAUGGCAGUAAAACAUGACAGAGAGGCAGAAACAUCUUUAACUGUCUCUUCAGUGUACAAGUGCAUUUUUGAUUCGUCUAGAUUCUGAAGUAGAUUAUUAAAUGCAGUCUGGUUUAAAAAAAUAGUUUGACUGUCCUUUUAGUUUAGUUUAAUGAAGCUAAAGUUCCUUUUACGUAACUUUAGCUUCAUGUUACCUAUUAGCCAGUCGCUGCAUUUUCACCAUGUUUAUAAACCAUUACCCUCUUGUCAGUCACUCUCUUCCCAUUUUUAACUACCACUUUCUAUGUUGUUGUGGCUUGUUUGCUUGUAGUGAAAUAAAUUAUAAUUAAAAGUACCUCUAAGGUUUUACAAAUAGAAAAAGAGUGAAUCACUCUUAAACAAUGCUAAAAACAAAAUUCUGUUCUAACUUGUAAGUGUUUUGGGCGAAACUAAUUAGAGGCUAAAAACUAUAAAGCAAACUUUAAGCUUAGCUUGAAGCCAACGCUAACCUUAGCAGUGUUAGCUGCUAAAGGUUUGACAUUGGCAGUGUUUUUUUUUUCAUUGGAAAUGAUCUUAUUUGUUAUUGUUUUUUAUUUUACUUUUUUUCCCAAAUUCAGCACAUUGUUGUCAAACAAAAUAUUUUAGUGUAAAUACCUAGUAAAAGGGAAUUCCCUAAUUUUUUAGUAACCUGAAGACGAGUCUUACCAGUUAUAUGAACAAACAACAACUCUAGAAGUGCUUUCUUUUUUUUCUUUUUUUUUUACUUUAAAAUAAAAGUCUCAGAUAUAGACACUUAAAUCUGUCAAUUUUAUGUCAGGGUGCACUGUUAUACCUAUCAAUAAAACAAAUACGGUACCAUUUUAUGAUCGUGUUACCCCCUUAGGAAGAAAGGAAGAAUGCACAUAUGGUUACUGAGGUCACCCUUACUUUAUAUAAUAACUAUACCUGAGUUACUGCGCCUCCCUUUGAGAGGGGGCAGAAGUGGAAAGCAGACACACCAAUGUUGUUGGCAAACAGUCAUACAAAUUUCUUCUCACUGAGUUCAAUUAAAAGCCUUAUAGUCCCCCGAGAUUAUCCCCGCUAACCAAUGAAAACAAUUUUGGUGGUUUAAUUUUCCUCAGACUGUCUAGGAGAGGAACUCCAUCUUUUCGAAAAGUUUGUCGGAGCCACGAGGAGUGGGGGGAGAGCAGAGGGGUGUCAAGGUCUCAUGUUAGAGCCAGUUGGCCUUUAUGAUUAGUUUCAUUAACAUACAACAAAAGCCAAUUAAGCUUACUGUGCUCAGUUAUGUUGUUGUUUUGUGGUUAGACAAGCAGUAUUACUCUGGAAUUCAGCUGAAUCUCACUUAACUUUUCUCCUACAAGCAACCUGCUCAAAGGCACUCUUUAAUGCUGUUACAAAAGGGAGGGAAUAAAAAUACGCACAGUGUAUUUCUCCAAGGCUCAGUGUUCGCGAACUGCACAAAUUGUGCAACAUGAUACUAUGAAACUGCAAUAAAAAGUCAAUUUAUUUGAAGGCCUCUGCACACAUCCUUACAAGGGACGGCAAUAAUGGUGCAGGACUCUGUAUGUGGGAAUCUGUGAUUGCAGGGAGGUACACCGGGCCCUGAUUGAUGUGGGGAGUGUGUCUUCUUUCUGGUUCGUGAGUGACACCAGCAGAAACAAAAGAGUGCGGUGUAGCAUUCCACCUCGAUUCACAGCCACGCCAGCCCCCCGGUGUUAGCGAGGGUCCCUGGUUUGACAUGAGACAGCCCAGACUGUCACUUCUGAAUGUUUAGAUCCCUCUUGACAAGGAGGCCAGGGGCAAGGGCUGUUGUGUGCAUCCUCAUGACAGACUCCCACAUCAGCAUUGUGCUCAUACUGGCUAACAUCAUUAGCACAGAAGGUUUCAUCUCACGGAGGGAGAGGGAGGAAGGAAAAAAAAAAAAAUCAACCCAGUUUUUUCAAGUCACAAGUCAUUAGCGUUCUCUAGAGAGUCAAAUUGUACAGAGGCUGAUUUUUUAUCAGCAACAAAAGGUUUUAUACUCUUGUUAAUUUGGUGGAUGUCAUCUGCACUUAGAUGUCUGUGUCUAAUGUCUUACAGUAAUAAAUGCCACGCAGUGGAAAAAUUGCAUUAUUUUGUCAAGAUGAGAAUGUGGGACGGAGUUACAACAGCAUCCAGACAUAAAACAGGCAUAAAAAAAAUAAAACAACACGACACAAUUAGCAGAACGGUGCAACCUGGAGAACAAGAAUUUGGCAAACAUGCUUGAAAAAAACCGAGACAGCGCGUUGCUAAAAUGCUAUUUAUUACUUCCACCUUAAGCAGUUCCAGUUCUCCAAUGGACUGUUAAGUGUCUAUUUGUGUGUUUUUUUGGCAUUGUGACUUCUGCAAGUCAGGCAAAAAA